UUAUAUAUUUAGAUUAUUUAUUUAAUAUAUUUAUAAUUUAAAUAUAAUGUAUUAUAUUAUUAAAUAGGAUUUAAUAUAGAGGUUUUAUAAUUUUUUUAUCAGUAUAUAUAUUUGUACAAUAAAUGGGAGUUUUAUACAGAAAUUAUAUGUGGUAAUUGGAUAAAUUUGUGCCAGCAUCUGCGGUUAUACAAAUAAUUAGGAUUAAAAAGAUUUGGUUGAAAAUAAAGUAGUAUAAUAUUAUUAUGAGGAAAGAUUAUAAUGAGUUUUUAGGUAAAAUUUAUAUAUAAAAUUUGAUUGUUUUUUUUUGUUUUCUUUAUUAUAAAUGCUUUGAAAAUUCAAUAAUAAACUAGGAUUAGAUACCCUAUUAUUUUGAUUUGUAAAAAUAAAAUUAUUUUACCUAAGUAUUAUGAAUUAUGUUUACUUUUAUAAGAUUACGUGUUUAUUUAAAACUUAAAAAGUUUGGCGGUUCUACAUAUCCAAUUAGGGGAGCUUGUUAAUUUAUUUGAUAAUCCUCAAUUUAAACUAACUUUUUUUUGAAAUUGUAUAUAAAUUCAGUUUGUAUAUUGCUGUCGUCAGUUUAUGUUUUAAGAAUUAUAUUAAAAGACUAGAAAAUAUUUAAAUUUUUAUGUCAAGUCAUAAUGCAGCUUAUAAAGAAGGUUUAAUGAGCUACUAUAGUUAAUUUUAUUUUAUUCCGGAUUUAAAAUUAUAUAUUUUUAUAGAAAGGUGGACUUAAUAGUAAUUUUUAAUUAGUGUGUAUAUGUGAAUAAUGGUUUUGUGGGGUGUACAUAUCGCCCGUCACUCUUGUUAUUUAGAUAAGAUAAGUCGUAACAUAGUAGAGGUAAUGGAAAUUGUUUCUGGAUUUAU
RNAcentral lists this non-coding RNA (864 nucleotides) under Eledone cirrhosa (curled octopus). Lineage: Eukaryota; Metazoa; Mollusca; Cephalopoda; Octopoda; Eledonidae. The record is from RNAcentral.